RNAcentral lists this ribosomal RNA (255 nucleotides) under uncultured bacterium. RNAcentral describes it as "partial 16S ribosomal RNA". It matches the Rfam family "Bacterial small subunit ribosomal RNA", at positions 99 to 354 of the family's 1533-position model. The record is from RNAcentral.
CGGACGGGUGAGUAACGCGUGGGUAACCUGCCUCAUACAGGGGGAUAACAGUUAGAAAUGACUGCUAAUACCGCAUAAGCACACAGAACCGCAUGGUUCGGGGUGAAAAGCCGAGACGGUAUGAGAUGGACCCGCGUCUGAUUAGCUAGUUGGAGUGGUAAAAGCACACCAAGGCGACGAUCAGUAGCCGGCCUGAGAGGGUGGACGGCCACAUUGGGACUGAGACACGGCCCAAACUCCUACGGGAGGCAGCAG